This 366-nucleotide ribosomal RNA is filed under the name Staphylococcus epidermidis NIH04003. Its description in RNAcentral is "bacterial SSU rRNA". It matches the Rfam family "Bacterial small subunit ribosomal RNA", at positions 1 to 356 of the family's 1533-position model. Lineage: Bacteria; Bacillati; Bacillota; Bacilli; Caryophanales; Staphylococcaceae. The record is from RNAcentral.
UUUUAUGGAGAGUUUGAUCCUGGCUCAGGAUGAACGCUGGCGGCGUGCCUAAUACAUGCAAGUCGAGCGAACAGACGAGGAGCUUGCUCCUCUGACGUUAGCGGCGGACGGGUGAGUAACACGUGGAUAACCUACCUAUAAGACUGGGAUAACUUCGGGAAACCGGAGCUAAUACCGGAUAAUAUAUUGAACCGCAUGGUUCAAUAGUGAAAGACGGUUUUGCUGUCACUUAUAGAUGGAUCCGCGCCGCAUUAGCUAGUUGGUAAGGUAACGGCUUACCAAGGCAACGAUGCGUAGCCGACCUGAGAGGGUGAUCGGCCACACUGGAACUGAGACACGGUCCAGACUCCUACGGGAGCAGCAGUA